ACAGACUUAGUCCUAACCUUACCGUUAGCUCUCGCUAAAUACAUACAUGCAAGUAUCCGCGCCCCAGUGAAAAUGCCCCAGAUACCCUUGACAAGGCACAGGGAGCAGGCAUCAGGCACACCAACUCGUAGCCCAAAACGCCUUGCUUUGCCACACCCCCACGGGUAUUCAGCAGUAGUAGACAUUAAGCAAUGAGUGAAAACUUGACUUAGUUAAAGCGAAUCAGGGCUGGUAAAUCUUGUGCCAGCCGCCGCGGUUAUACAAGAGGCCCAAGUUAACUGCCUAACCGGCGUAAAGAGUGGUCCAGUAGUGUCAGCCCAACUAAGGCCGAAACGUGCCUGAGCUGUCAUAAGCUUAAGGCCCGAACAAGCCCGCCCCCAAAGCGGCCUUAGCAGUACCGACUAACCAACCCCACGAAAGCUGAGACCCAAACUGGGAUUAGAUACCCCACUAUGCUCAGCCCUAAAUCAGAGUGUUUACCCCUACUAAAACACCCGCCCGAGAACUACGAGCACAAACGCUUGAAACUCUAAGGACUUGGCGGUGCCCCACCCACCUAGAGGAGCCUGUUCUGUAAUCGAUAACCCACGAUACACCCGACCGUUCCUUGCCUGAGCAGCCUACAUACCGCCGUCGUCAGCCCACCUUCAUUGAGAGGCCACAAGUGGGCACAAUAGUUAUCUUACACUAACAAGACAGGUCAAGGUAUAGCCAAUGGACCGGAAGAAAUGGGCUACAUUUUCUAAGAUAGAACAACCAACGGAAGGAGGCAUGAAACUACCCCCAGAAGGCGGAUUUAGCAGUAAAACGAGAUUAGAUGGCCCGUUUAAAGCUGGCCCUGGGGCACGUACAUACCGCCCGUCACCCUCCUCACAAGCCUGCAGCUCACAGUAACUAACACGCCCAGUGGGGCUAAAGAGGAGGUAAGUCGUAACAAGGUAAGUGUACCGGAAGGUGCACUUAGCUCA
This 968-nucleotide ribosomal RNA is filed under the name Merops viridis (blue-throated bee-eater). RNAcentral describes it as "partial 12S ribosomal RNA". It matches the Rfam family "Bacterial small subunit ribosomal RNA". Lineage: Eukaryota; Metazoa; Chordata; Aves; Coraciiformes; Meropidae. The record is from RNAcentral.